AUUGAACGCUGGCGGCAUGCCUUACACAUGCAAGUCGAACGGCAGCACGGGUGCUUGCACCUGGGGGCGAGUGGCGAACGGGUGAGUAAUAUAUCGGAACGUACCGUAUUGUGGGGGAUAACGGAGCGAAAGCUGUGCUAAUACCGCAUAAUCCCUCAGGGGGAAAGCGGGGGAGCGUAAGAUCUCGCGCAAUGAGAGUGGGCUAUACCUGAUUAGAUAGUUGGUGAGGGAAAGGCUCACCCAGGCAAAGAUCAGUAGCUGGUCUGGGAGGACGAUCAGCCACACUGGGACUGAGACACGGCCCCGACUCCUACGGGAGGCAGCAGUGGGGAAUUUUGGACAAUGGGGGCAACCCUGAUCCAGCAAUGCCGCGUGAGUGAAGAAGGCCUUCGGGUUGUAAAGCUCUUUUGUCAGGGAAGAAACAGCAGCUCUAACACAGUUUGCGAAUGACGGUACCUGAAGAAUAAGCACCGGCUAACUACGUGCCAGCAGCAGCCGCAG
RNAcentral lists this ribosomal RNA (501 nucleotides) under uncultured bacterium. RNAcentral describes it as "partial 16S ribosomal RNA". It matches the Rfam family "Bacterial small subunit ribosomal RNA", at positions 30 to 523 of the family's 1533-position model. The record is from RNAcentral.